This 368-nucleotide ribosomal RNA is filed under the name uncultured euryarchaeote. RNAcentral's name for it is "bacterial SSU rRNA". It matches the Rfam family "Archaeal small subunit ribosomal RNA", at positions 356 to 719 of the family's 1478-position model. The record is from RNAcentral. Lineage: Archaea; Methanobacteriati; Methanobacteriota.
UGCACGAGAGUGCGAUGGGGGGACUCCGAGUGUAAUCUUCCCACAAGGAAGGUUACUUUUCUGCACUGUAAGGAGGUGCCGGAACAAGGGGUGGGCAACACUGCUGCCAGCCGCCGCGGUAAUAGCAGGACCCCAAGUGGUAGUCGUUAUUAUUGGGCUUAAAGUGUUCGUAGCCUGCCAUGCAAGUCCGCUGUGAAAUCCACGCGCUCAACGUGUGGGCGUGCAGCGGAUACUGUAUGGCUAGGGACCGGACGGCGUUGAGGCUAUUCCCGGAGUAGGAGUGAAAUCCUAAAAUUCUGGGAGGAGCACCUGUGGCGAAAGCGCUCAACGAGUACGGAUCCGACGGUGAGGAACGAAAGCCAGGGGAG